GAAAGCCUGUCUCAGUUCGGAUUGGAGUCUGCAACCCGACUCCAUGAAGCUGGAUUCGCUAGUAAUCGCGCAUCAGCCACGGCGCGGUGAAUACGUUCCCGGGCCUUGUACACACCGCCCGUCAAGCCAUGGAAGCCGGGGGUGCCUGAAGUGCGCUGCCGCAAGGAGCGCCCUAGGGUAAAACCGGUGACUGGGGCUAAGUCGUAACAAGGUAUC
RNAcentral lists this ribosomal RNA (216 nucleotides) under uncultured bacterium. RNAcentral's name for it is "partial 16S ribosomal RNA". It matches the Rfam family "Bacterial small subunit ribosomal RNA", at positions 1277 to 1500 of the family's 1533-position model. The record is from RNAcentral.